This 1367-nucleotide ribosomal RNA is filed under the name uncultured bacterium. RNAcentral's name for it is "16S ribosomal RNA". It matches the Rfam family "Bacterial small subunit ribosomal RNA". The record is from RNAcentral.
UGGCAGUGUGCCUAACACAUGCAAGUCGCGCGAUAUAGCGGCAGACGAGAGAGUAAUAACAAGGAACUUACCCCCGAGUGAAGGAUAGCCAGCCGAAAGGCUGGGUAAUCCCGCAUAACACCCCGCCUUUGGCGGGGUCAAAGCCGUAAGGCGCUUGGGGAGAGGCCUUGUUCCUAUCAGCUAGUUGGUGAGGUAAUGGCUCACCAAGGCGAUGACGGGUAGCUGGACUGAGAGGUUGACCAGCCUCGAUGGGACUGAGACACGGCCCAUACUCCUACGGGAGGCAGCAGUUGGGAAUUUUGCACAAUGGACGCAAGUCUGAUGCAGCAACACUGCGUGAAGGAUGAAGGUUUUCGGAUCGUAAACUUCUUUUAUUAGGGAAUAAUCUUGAAGGUACCUAAUGAAUAAGCACCGGCUAACUACGUGCCAGCAGCCGCGGUAAUACGUAGGGUGCAAACAUUAUCCGGAUUUAUUGGGCGUAAAGAGCUCGUAGGUGGUUUUGAAAGUUGGAUAUGAAAUGUUCCGGCUCAACCGGAAUACCGUAUCCAAAACUACACAACUAGAGGUAUGCAGGGGCGGAUGGAACACACGGUGUAGCAGUGAUAUGCGUAGAUAUCGUGUGGAACGCCAAUGGUGAAGACAGUCCGCUGGGCAUUACCUGACACUGAGGAGCGAAAGCGUGGGUAGCGAACGGGAUUAGAUACCCCGGUAGUCCACGCCGUAAACGAUGCACACUGGGAAUGUGGAGAAUCGACCCUCUGCGUUUCGAAGCUAACGCGUUAAGUGUGCCGCCUGGGUAGUACGGCCGCAAGGCUAAAACUCAAAGGAAUUGACGGGGACCCGCACAAGCGGUGGAACAUGUGGUUUAAUUCGAUAGCAAGCGAAGAACCUUACCAGGACUUGACAUCCUUGGAAUCCGCUAGAAAUAGUGGAGUGCCUUUUGGAGCCAAGUGACAGGUGCUGCACGGCCGUCGUCAGCUCGUGCUGUGAAGUGUCCCGUUAAGUCGAUCAACGACCGCAACCCCUAUUGCAUGUUGAAUUUUUCAUGCGAGACUGCCGGCGUUAAGUCGGAGGAAGGUGGGGAUGACGUCAGGUCAGCGUGGCUCUUACGUCCUGGGCUACACACGUGUUACAAUGGGUAGCAACAAUGGGCUGCUAAACCGCAAGGUGGAGCCAAUCCCAUCAAACCUACCCUCAGUUCGGAUUGAGGUCUGCAACUCGACCUCAUGAAGUCGGAAUCGCUAGUAACCGUAGGUCAGCCAUACUACGGUGAAUACGUUCUCGGGUCUUGUACACACCGCCCGUCAAGUCAGGAAAGCCGGUAACGCCCGAAUUCCGCACCCGCGGAACACGGUGAGAUCGGUGAU